GUCAGUGAAUCGUAUCCGGCGCGGCCGGUGCGGCGCGCUCGCUCCAGAGCUUGCCGCGUGUUUUAAACUGACUGACGAGUUGACUGCUUGAUGACGUGACUUCGAGAUUUCAAAUAAUCUGUUAGACUGCGACACCGAGGCAACUAUGUGAAAGCGCAAAAACAUCGCCAGGAAGGCAGAGGACACGUCAAACCUGGUAUCGGAAGAUGAUGCUGUGUAGAAGCGAAAGAGACGUCUUCCCCAGAGAUUUAGCAAAUCUUCUAGUGAUUCCGGAAGUGACGCUAAUCUUGAAUCGGUUAGGACCCAAGAAAACAACAUGUACGCGGAGGAACGACUAAGGCUGUGGCAGCAGAGAUACCAAUGCCGAAACCGAAUGCGAAGUCCAAGUCCACAUCGCAUUUUUCAGUUCCAACCCACAACUCCAGCAAGGGCUCGGGCUUCGGAAAGCAAUUUUCAAGUGCAGGUACUGUGUACGCUACAGAGGCUGGAGGAAGGGCAGCAGCAGCUGACGCACUUGGUACAAAAACUGCUUUUGUCAAAAUCGGGAGCGGCCGUUGAUGUGGAAGAUCUGAGGGAGCCGUUUAUCGAACCAGUGAACACCAAAUUUUCAUUCAAGGUAGAUUAAGAUACCUUCAUUCAGGGGCAAUGCAAAAAUCCUAAAACUCAUAUUAAAACCAAAUUUGACCAUUUCAGCUAAUAAUGGAGAAACUUUAUCAGCGACAUAACAGUUUUGUUGGUGCAUCUUUUUGGAUUGAAUUGCCAACAUCUUGUUGAGAAUGCAAGACAAAGUUGUAUAGGUCUGUAAAUUUACUACUUUUUGUAAGGAUGCUGAAACCAAUGUGUGUGCUGCCAAACUCUCUUAAAACCUUGUCUUCUAUAUUCAUAGACCCUUAAAUUUGAGUAUUCAUAUUUGCCUGUUAAUAAUUCAUAUCGACUCAUUUCUAUCAGUUUAUUAUAAAUAGCUUUUUGUAGAUUGUUCAUGUGUUUUGUGUUGGUUUUAUAUUUGAAGUAAGAUGCAAGGUCCAAUGCAAGGCUUCUGGGAAAUCUUGACCUGCCCACUAAAUCUUUGGUCGAUCAAAAGGACAAUUUUUUACUCGGAUUUAAAGGGGAAAUCUACCCUAGAAAUUUCACUGCUUCAAUCAAAGGAGACAAAUU
Long non-coding RNA from Strongylocentrotus purpuratus (purple sea urchin), 1155 nucleotides. RefSeq lists it as uncharacterized. Lineage: Eukaryota; Metazoa; Echinodermata; Echinoidea; Camarodonta; Strongylocentrotidae. The transcript has 4 exons. The record is from RefSeq and is a predicted model, not a curated record.